Molecule: long non-coding RNA, 429 nt
Organism: Panthera uncia (snow leopard)
Lineage: Eukaryota; Metazoa; Chordata; Mammalia; Carnivora; Felidae
Exons: 2
Source: RefSeq, a predicted model, not a curated record
AGGGUUGCUGAAGAAUACUGGGAUCAUCCACGUAAGGCCUCAACACUUGCCAGUUGUUUGCACAUCAUGCUCUGUGACAUAAGGUCUUGUGCUGGUAUCCACCAUGUUCCCCUUCUGGAACUCUGUAGGCUGCUUCAAAGAUGGGCUAGAAAUGUUCUACUGCAUUAUUUGUAAAAGUUUCCCGCAAGUGUAAGAAUCAAAAGGGAGUGAAAGCUUCCGAUGGUCAACAGGAAACCCUCCCCACUCCCCAACUCUGCUCUGGGAACCUCACAGACUUCCUGAAGUAAAAAACAAACACCGUGACCAGUUUCUACUUCUUGUAAGAAUUUAAUUCUUCCUUUAAUAUAAAUAAGGCAGCAUGAAACACCGAGAGCCCUGCUGCUCUCUGCUUCAGAAGCAGCUUUGCUGCAUAAAGACCCCCAUUUCCCC